RNAcentral lists this ribosomal RNA (469 nucleotides) under Gemella sanguinis. Its description in RNAcentral is "bacterial SSU rRNA". It matches the Rfam family "Bacterial small subunit ribosomal RNA", at positions 28 to 476 of the family's 1533-position model. Lineage: Bacteria; Bacillati; Bacillota; Bacilli; Caryophanales; Gemellaceae. The record is from RNAcentral.
GACGAACGCUGGCGGCGUGCCUAAUACAUGCAAGUCGAGCGAAGUUUUUCUGGUGCUUGCACUAGAAAAACUUAGCGGCGAACGGGUGAGUAACACGUAAAGAACCUGCCUCAUAGACGGGGACAACUAUUGGAAACGAUAGCUAAUACCGGAUAACAGCAUAAAUCGCAUGAUAUAUGUUUAAAAGUUGGUUUCGGCUAACACUAUGAGAUGGCUUUGCGGUGCAUUAGCUAGUUGGUGGGGUAAAGGCCUACCAAGGCGACGAUGCAUAGCCGACCUGAGAGGGUAAUCGGCCACACUGGGACUGAGACACGGCCCAGACUCCUACGGGAGGCAGCAGUAGGGAAUCUUCCGCAAUGGGCGAAAGCCUGACGGAGCAACGCCGCGUGAGUGAAGAAGGAUUUCGGUUCGUAAAGCUCUGUUGUUAGGGAAGAAUGAUUGUAUAGUAACUAUAUACAGUAGAGACGGU